Long non-coding RNA from Melospiza melodia melodia, 1235 nucleotides. RefSeq lists it as uncharacterized. The record is from RefSeq and is a predicted model, not a curated record. NCBI's taxonomy places the organism in Eukaryota, Metazoa, Chordata, Aves, Passeriformes, Passerellidae. The transcript is spliced from 3 exons.
UGUAAAUGGCUGACUCAGAGGAUGAUGAUCAGCACGACAGAGCCUUCUGCCUGUGCGAGUACUAUGUGUUUGUAGGAGAGAUGUUAUAAGGUGACAGUCACCAGUUCAGCUCCACCCCUUGAUCUGUUCACCAGGCAUUAUGGAGACUGGAAAGACCAAGAGAGCAAAUGGAGGAAGGAGCAUAUUAAUUGGCUGAAGGUCACUUCUCCUGUGGGAUCCCCAUCCUGGGAACACGGAGGGGCUGCGGGAAGCGGAGUGGAAUGGAAGGGUCUUCACUCUUAACUUGGACUACAGAAGGCUGCACAUAUUUAGUCUGUGAAGGGAACUUAGGAGUGUGUCCAUCAAGGAGGAGUUACCUGUCUUCACAACCAAGACGAGGACUGAGAGCUGAGAGGCUUCCCUCACUCAGUGCAGUGAGGCUUUCCUUGGCUUCCACAAGCUUCCCUUCAACCAGAAGAUAAUUUCAGAAUUUGGAUAGCAACUAGCACCCACCCACUGCUCACAAGACUUUUUUUCCAUGGAGAGAGUGUGAUGUGAAGCUUGGGAUACCUAUUGUACCUUCAGGAAUCACAAAUCCUGCCCCAGCGCAAAGGUGAGGUUGCCAAGAUGCAAACCAGAGAUGGCUGCAGAAUGAAGUGUAGUAGCCUCAGUGGCAUGAUCUUUUAAUCCUGAUCAGGUAGCAGUUGAGUGAAAACUCCUCUUGUUUUGAUGUGAAGAGCACAGACCCUAUAUCCCACAAAUUGCUGUUGUGAUGAUUUUCUUUACAAGGAAAGACAUCACCUGGAGAAAUGCAGUCACUCAAGGAAGAAAAAUGCCAAGUCAUCUGAAGCUUUGUCUCUCCUGAUUGCAAUCAUAUUUUAUUCUCAAGUAAAGAGAAAUAGGUUUGGCAUGAAGCUAAGAAGCAGUGGAUGUUCAACCUGCGGCUACUGUGGAUAUGGGACUCCAGGACGAUUUUCAAGGUUGCCCCAACACACAGUUGCGCUCCCACUGAGAUAUUUCAUCCUAGAGCUGGAUGGAGCUAUGGGAACUGGCUGGCUCUCCCUCCAUCUGUGAAGCCAGCCAGCUGAAGGGGCCAUGAGCAACGGGGGCACUGCGGGGCAACUUUCCUUGCGUCUCCUACGAGCCAGACCAUGAGGCUGGCAGUUCUCCUUUGACCCUUCGCCUCUGAAGAGCCGUGCCCCUGCCUGUGCUGCAGCUCCCAGGCACAGGCGGCCCGGAGCGCGCCGGGAGCGGGA